CACUCCUGCGGGAGGCAGCAGUGGGGAAUAUUGCACAAUGGGCGCAAGCCUGAUGCAGCCAUGCCGCGUGUAUGAAGAAGGCCUUCGGGUUGUAAAGUACUUUCAGCGGGGAGGAAGGCAAUACGGUUAAUAACCGUGUUGAUUGACGUUACCCGCAGAAGAAGCACCGGCUAACUCCGUGCCAGCAGCCGCGGUAAUACGGAGGGUGCAAGCGUUAAUCGGAAUUACUGGGCGUAAAGCGCACGCAGGCGGUCUGUCAAGUCGGAUGUGAAAUCCCCGGGCUCAACCUGGGAACUGCAUUCGAAACUGGCAGGCUUGAGUCUUGUAGAGGGGGGUAGAAUUCCAGGUGUAGCGGUGAAAUGCGUAGAGAUCUGGAGGAAUACCGGUGGCGAAGGCGGCCCCCUGGACAAAGACUGACGCUCAGGUGCGAAAGCGUGGGGAGCAAACAGGAUUAGAAACCCUAGUAGUCCCAUGAU
RNAcentral lists this ribosomal RNA (476 nucleotides) under uncultured organism. RNAcentral's name for it is "partial 16S ribosomal RNA". It matches the Rfam family "Bacterial small subunit ribosomal RNA", at positions 334 to 801 of the family's 1533-position model. The record is from RNAcentral.